This 460-nucleotide ribosomal RNA is filed under the name uncultured bacterium. RNAcentral's name for it is "partial 16S ribosomal RNA". It matches the Rfam family "Bacterial small subunit ribosomal RNA", at positions 338 to 795 of the family's 1533-position model. The record is from RNAcentral.
CCUACGGGUGGCAGCAGUGAGGAAUAUUGGUCAAUGGACGAGAGUCUGAACCAGCCACGUAGCGUGAAUGAUGACUGCCCUAUGGAUUGUAAACUUCUUUUAUAUGGGAGUAAAAUGUUCCGCGUGUGGGAUUUUGUGUUUACCCUAUGAAUAAGGAUCAGCUAACUCCGGGACAGCAGCCGCGGUAAUUCGGAGGAUCGACUCGUUGUCCGGAUUUAGUGGGCUUAAGGGGAACGUAGGUGGGUUGGUAAGUCAGUUGUGAAAGUGUGCGGCGCAACCGUAAAAUUGCAGUUGAAACUGGCAGUCUUGAGUACAGUAGAGGUGAGCGGAAUUCGUGGUGUAGCGGUGAAAUGCUUAGAUAUCACGAAGAACUCCGAUUGCGAAGGCAGCUCACUGGACUGCAACUGACACUGAGGCUCGAAAGUGUGGGUAGCAAACAGGAUUAGAUACCCGGGUAGUC